This 1513-nucleotide ribosomal RNA is filed under the name Escherichia coli. RNAcentral's name for it is "partial 23S ribosomal RNA". It matches the Rfam family "Bacterial large subunit ribosomal RNA", at positions 1 to 1548 of the family's 2925-position model. Lineage: Bacteria; Pseudomonadati; Pseudomonadota; Gammaproteobacteria; Enterobacterales; Enterobacteriaceae. The record is from RNAcentral.
GGGUUGUGAGGUUAAGCGACUAAGCGUACACGGUGGAUGCCCUGGCAGUCAGAGGCGAUGAAGGACGUGCUAAUCUGCGAUAAGCGUCGGUAAGGUGAUAUGAACCGUUAUAACCGGCGAUUUCCGAAUGGGGAAACCCAGUGUGUUUCGACACACUAUCAUUAACUGAAUCCAUAGGUUAAUGAGGCGAACCGGGGGAACUGAAACAUCUAAGUACCCCGAGGAAAAGAAAUCAACCGAGAUUCCCCCAGUAGCGGCGAGCGAACGGGGAGCAGCCCAGAGCCUGAAUCAGUGUGUGUGUUAGUGGAAGCGUCUGGAAAGGCGCGCGAUACAGGGUGACAGCCCCGUACACAAAAAUGCACAUAUUGUGAGCUCGAUGAGUAGGGCGGGACACGUGGUAUCCUGUCUGAAUAUGGGGGGACCAUCCUCCAAGGCUAAAUACUCCUGACUGACCGAUAGUGAACCAGUACCGUGAGGGAAAGGCGAAAAGAACCCCGGCGAGGGGAGUGAAAAAGAACCUGAAACCGUGUACGUACAAGCAGUGGGAGCACGCUUAGGCGUGUGACUGCGUACCUUUUGUAUAAUGGGUCAGCGACUUAUAUUCUGUAGCAAGGUUAACCGAAUAGGGGAGCCGAAGGGAAACCGAGUCUUAACUGGGCGUUAAGUUGCAGGGUAUAGACCCGAAACCCGGUGAUCUAGCCAUGGGCAGGUUGAAGGUUGGGUAACACUAACUGGAGGACCGAACCGACUAAUGUUGAAAAAUUAGCGGAUGACUUGUGGCUGGGGGUGAAAGGCCAAUCAAACCGGGAGAUAGCUGGUUCUCCCCGAAAGCUAUUUAGGUAGCGCCUCGUGAAUUCAUCUCCGGGGGUAGAGCACUGUUUCGGCAAGGGGGUCAUCCCGACUUACCAACCCGAUGCAAACUGCGAAUACCGGAGAAUGUUAUCACGGGAGACACACGGCGGGUGCUAACGUCCGUCGUGAAGAGGGAAACAACCCAGACCGCCAGCUAAGGUCCCAAAGUCAUGGUUAAGUGGGAAACGAUGUGGGAAGGCCCAGACAGCCAGGAUGUUGGCUUAGAAGCAGCCAUCAUUUAAAGAAAGCGUAAUAGCUCACUGGUCGAGUCGGCCUGCGCGGAAGAUGUAACGGGGCUAAACCAUGCACCGAAGCUGCGGCAGCGACGCUGAUGCGUUGUUGGGUAGGGGAGCGUUCUGUAAGCCUGUGAAGGUGUGCUGUGAGGCAUGCUGGAGGUAUCAGAAGUGCGAAUGCUGACAUAAGUAACGAUAAAGCGGGUGAAAAGCCCGCUCGCCGGAAGACCAAGGGUUCCUGUCCAACGUUAAUCGGGGCAGGGUGAGUCGACCCCUAAGGCGAGGCCGAAAGGCGUAGUCGAUGGGAAACAGGUUAAUAUUCCUGUACUUGGUGUUACUGCGAAGGGGGGACGGAGAAGGCUAUGUUGGCCGGGCGACGGUUGUCCCGGUUUAAGCGUGUAGGCUGGUUUUCCAGGCAAAUCCGGAAA